CAGCAGCCGCGGUAAUACGAAGGGGGCUAGCGUUGCUCGGAAUGACUGGGCGUAAAGGGCGCGUAGGCGGUUUGUUAAGACAGAUGUGAAAUCCCCGGGCUCAACCUGGGAACUGCAUUUGUGACUGGCAAGCUAGAGUGUGGCAGAGGGGGGUGGAAUUCCGCGUGUAGCAGUGAAAUGCGUAGAUAUGCGGAGGAACACCGAUGGCGAAGGCAGCCCCCUGGGCCAACACUGACGCUCAUGCACGAAAGCGUGGGGAGCAAACAGGAUUAGAGACCCCUGUAGUCCCUGUCUCUUAUAC
This 301-nucleotide ribosomal RNA is filed under the name uncultured bacterium. RNAcentral's name for it is "partial 16S ribosomal RNA". It matches the Rfam family "Bacterial small subunit ribosomal RNA", at positions 509 to 807 of the family's 1533-position model. The record is from RNAcentral.